RNAcentral lists this small nuclear RNA (107 nucleotides) under Procavia capensis (Cape rock hyrax). Lineage: Eukaryota; Metazoa; Chordata; Mammalia; Hyracoidea; Procaviidae. The record is from RNAcentral.
GUGCACACUUUGGCAUCACACAUACUAAAAUUGGAAUGAUACAGAGAAGGUUAGCAUGGCCCCUGAACAAAGAUGACGUGCAAAUAUGUGAAGAAUUCUGUAUUUUU